GUGGUUGGUGUGCGGGUUUCGGUUGGAGGACUCGUUGGGGAGGUGGCCUGCGCUUGUAGAGACUGCAUCCCCGAGACGAUGGCGGAGGGAGAUAAUCGCAGCACCAACCUGCUGGCUGCAGAGACUGCAAGUCUGGAAGAACAGCUGCAAGGAUGGGGAGAAGUGAUGCUGAUGGCUGAUAAAGUCCUCCGAUGGGAAAGAGCCUGGUUUCCACCUGCCAUCAUGGGUGUGGUUUCUUUGGUGUUUCUGAUUAUCUACUAUCUAGAUCCAUCUGUUCUGUCCGGCGUUUCCUGUUUUGUUAUGUUUUUGUGCUUGGCUGACUACCUUGUUCCCAUUCUAGCGCCUAGAAUUUUUGGCUCCAAUAAAUGGUAGGUAGCAUAAUGAUUUGGCAGUCUCAUUUUUGUGUAGUUACUGAACUUGGUGGCUGUGAUUAGUAUGCUGUAAAUAAGCAGAGAUAAUUGUCUAACCAUCAGACACCUAAGCAUUAGAUUUAUUGCUUUUAUGUGAAGAAUAUUGUAACUGAUUUGAAUAUAAACUAUGAAUUUUCUGUACUCCAUAGUUCUUUUAUGGUAAAUGCACAU
This 581-nucleotide long non-coding RNA is filed under the name Homo sapiens (human). RNAcentral's name for it is "non-protein coding lnc-SMG1-1:17". The record is from RNAcentral. Lineage: Eukaryota; Metazoa; Chordata; Mammalia; Primates; Hominidae.